GAUUCCUUUUGAAGUAAUUUCUAUAUUUUCUUUUAUUUAUAUAUCUUCGUUUUUAUUAUUAUUUGUAACAUUCCUUAAAUUGUAAUUUCUUUUAAUGUAUUUUUUAUUUCUUCUCUUAUAGUGGUUUCUAAUUUGUUUAGGAUAUUUUCUACUACAUCCAUAUUUACUUGGUUUAUCUUUUGUACAACAUAACUGUAUAUCUGAUUGUAAUAAAUUUCUAAUAUUUGUCGCUUGAGUACAUNNNN
This 245-nucleotide long non-coding RNA is filed under the name Nicotiana benthamiana. Its description in RNAcentral is "long non-coding RNA (NBEN_LNC005935)". The record is from RNAcentral. Lineage: Eukaryota; Viridiplantae; Streptophyta; Magnoliopsida; Solanales; Solanaceae.